Molecule: non-coding RNA, 998 nt
Organism: Punica granatum (pomegranate)
Lineage: Eukaryota; Viridiplantae; Streptophyta; Magnoliopsida; Myrtales; Lythraceae
Source: RefSeq, a predicted model, not a curated record
GGAAAAGAAAGAUAAAUGGGAGAGAGAAUAGAGAGAGAGAGAGAGAAACCAUCUUGAUUUUACAAUUGUAUACAUAAAUAGCCAUGCACGGGGUCCAUUGGCCGACUGAUAUCCAUAUUUCCGGAAAUGGGGAGAAAGAGGAGAAAUAUCUAUAUUACGGAGCCUGCGAUUGCGGUCAAUGACGGGAGCUGCAUCGACUCGUGGGUGCCACUCGAUCUCCUGGAGGAAAUCCUGCUGAGAUUGCCAGUGCGGAGUCUCCUCAGAUGCAAGGCAGUGUGCAAGAGCUUGUACCAUCUCAUCAAAAGCGAACAAUUCCUCGCAUCGUAUCACGCGUGCUGGAAAAACUGUUACGGUGAGGAGUACGGCUUGGAUAAGUCUUUCAAUUGGAGUGGCCUGUAUUGGCACCCUCGCGAGAACAAAACCCUACGGGCUUUUGUCAGUCUGCAUGGAGCCCGCAACUGGAGAUGGGUCAGUGCAGAGAGCGGGCUUAAAAGAAGCCCAGGGGCUUGCCGGAACCGGUGGCGUGACUAUCUAGACCCCGGCCUUGUCGAUCCCAGACCCUUUUCCAAGGAAGAAGCAAAGAAAGUUGUCGAGCUGCACGGGUUACACUGCAUGAAGGGUCAUAGAUGGGCCCUUAUCGCCCGAGAACUCCCCGGAAGAAGAUGGCCUGCGGUAAAAGAGUGGUGGAAGAAAAAUAAAAAACCUGGCCGUACUUGAUGCUGAUCAGUUGAUUUCUCUAUGACACAGCUACCUUCAACGAUUAUCACGAUUUCACAUGAAUAUUCUCUCAGAAUAAAUGACAGUGGAUCGGUAGAUAGAUCCAAUGCUUUGCUUACUUUCGAUGGCAAUUAUCUUAGGUUCUAAACAUUGUUUUAUGUUAUGAGCUAUUGCUGCUUUUAACAAUACGCAUGAUGGAUAACUGAUAUAUAUUUCAUCCUUGUCUAAUGUCUCCUUCAAACUCCCAUGUUGAAUCUGAUCUUUAUGCACAUUGAGGUUUA